Molecule: ribosomal RNA, 301 nt
Filed under: uncultured bacterium
Lineage: Bacteria
Description: partial 16S ribosomal RNA
Rfam family: Bacterial small subunit ribosomal RNA
Source: RNAcentral
CAGUAGCCACGGUAAAACGGAGGGUGCAAGCGUUAUCCGGAUUUAUUGGGUUUAAAGGGUCCGUAGGCGGAUCUGUAAGUCAGUGGUGAAAUCUCACAGCUUAACUGUGAAACUGCCAUUGAUACUGCAGGUCUUGAGUAAAUUUGAAGUGGCUGGAAUAAGUAGUGUAGCGGUGAAAUGCAUAGAUAUUACUUAGAACACCAAUUGCGAAGGCAGGUCACUAAGAUUUAACUGACGCUGAUGGACGAAAGCGUGGGGAGCGAACAGGAUUAGAUACCCCCGUAGUCCCUGUCUCUUAUAC